Molecule: long non-coding RNA, 1867 nt
Organism: Periophthalmus magnuspinnatus
Lineage: Eukaryota; Metazoa; Chordata; Actinopteri; Gobiiformes; Gobiidae
Exons: 5
Source: RefSeq, a predicted model, not a curated record
GCCCUGAUCAACUAGACCUGACCAUCUUUGGAGUUUUCUCUCAAAUUUAUUGAUGUGCUGAUGUGGCAGUGUAAAUUGUGCCAGAAGGUGGUGUCAACAAGGACGCGUUUGUUUAGGCACUACAAGUUAGUUCAUGUUUCCAGACCAUUAUAUCCAUGUAUAUAUUUGGAUUGCCCGUGUACUUUCAAGACUUUUAAAACUCUUUAUAGCCAUACAAGCAGAGUACAUCCACACAAAAAACACAUAACUGUUGCAACAUUUAGCUGCCAUCUGUGUACAUUUAGUGGUCUUGCUACAGAAAAAGAGUAUUUUUCUCAUAUUAACACUCAUCUAAAAAGUAGUGAGACAGUGCAUUGUAUGUUUAAGGGUUGCUCUUACUAAACAAAUAUCUAUGGUACAUUCAAGUCGCAUAAAACCCGGAAGCACACGCCAUACACCUUAGAAGACUUUAAACCAGGGAUUGUGAACACCAUUGAAAGCCAAACCUCAGCUUGUGUUGCUGAAAGAAAGAUGGAGAAAACUUUUCCACACAGGAGACAAGAAAUCGUUCGAGACAUGCCCUUCAUUGCAGAUUUCAAAAGUAGAUGGCCUGCACUCUUUUCUCAUCGAGAGAUUAAUGCAGAGUUCAGACGAAUCACCACAAUGCCAUUGGCCUCAAAGUUCAUGUCACAGCUGGAUCUUUAUGCUCCUAAACUGAUGAAAAUCUUUAGAAAGAAGGGAGGAAAACCUGGACGGAAGAUAACAGAAAUCAUGACAGGAAUUAAUGAGAGAGACUCCAUUGACCAAAGAAGAUGUUGUACCCUUGAAGGCCCUUUCUGUUUAUCUGAAUGAAGAUCCAAGCAACAUGAUAAAAGAAUAUGUAAAUAUUGAUUUCCUUAAUGCCCAGCAACACAUGCCAAAGACCUCUAUUGGCAUUUAUGCCAUCCUGCAUGAAGGGGAUGAUGGCGGCAAGGAAGAUCCAGAGGAUGUGGGAAUCAUCAUUGAGGGAGUCUCUGUACUGCAGGAUCUUCGUGAGGUUGCCACUGCUUUCCCUUUGCUCUUUGGACUGAUCAACUUGAACUACCCACGGGAUCUCAAGUACACUUUUGAAUUUUACCAAAAGGUGUUGAUGGAGCUUGAUAACAAAAAAAUGUCAAACAAAAUCCAAAUUCUAAAAAACAAGCUUCUUGAGUAGAUUAGCUGACCAUAUUUUACAAAAAUUUAUGUAUUUAUUUUUUGGUGAUCUCAGAUGAGCAGUAAGCCAAGUGUAAACAAUCAAAUUUAAAUUUCCAAAUCAGGAUUACUGAAAACAUUUUUGAAAUGCUUUACUUACUUUUUGAUUAAAAAACAACUUUAUUUUAUUUAAAAUAUUCUUUGCUAAAAAGGAACACGUUAAGUAGACUUUAGUACAUUCCAAUAAGUUCAAUGUAUUAUUUUUUUAAGUUUCAAAUUUGCUCGUUAAAGUUCAUUAUUGCAAAUUGCAAGUCUGUGAUGAUUUUUUACAAUUUUAGUCAAUACAUUAAUACACUUGUUCACAAUGUUCAAAGAUGGUUUCCAGAAUGCUACUGCAAAAAUGUUCAAAUGAAGUGUAUUAUUGAUGAAAGUUUGAAAAUAUCUGCCUAUUUUGCAGAUAUUCAUAAACAUUCACAAUAUCUCAAAUUUGAUAUUAAUAUCAAUAUUUAUAUUUUUAGUAGGUGCUACUUUGCACCAUAUGUGUUGGUUUGGGACAAAAUGUUGUCCUUUUCAUACAUAUUUUAUUUACUUUUUUCACAAUCUUAUCUGUUGUUUGCUAAGUUAAUUUUUCAAACAAGGACAGCUAUUUUAGAAAGGUUAUCUUAUGUUUUAAGAAUAGACCCUAUUCACUUAAAGAGGACUGCCCUAAAGAGGC